UUACUACUUUUUGUUUAUUUUUGACAUUUAAUUACGUUUCCGUCUGUGAUAUAGGCUUUAAUGUAGGUCAGUAUAUCUAAAAUGUUUUUUUUUUUUUUUAUAAUUCAGGGUAGAUCUUAUCCCUAUGGAGGAACCAGACUAAUCUUUGGGGAAGGCGCGACUCAUAGAUAGACCCUCUCUCCGGAUAUUUAAAUGGGCUGAAAGCAAAGGUUCAUAUCCAUGUGAGUGUCCAGAAACAAUAUGUUGAAGUUUCACGCAGCAGGUGGAUCGAACUUGAGACGUGUUGGCGCCUCAAGCUCGUCUCCUUACCACUAGACCACAAGGUCCUGGACAAUAUAUCUAAGCAUGCACAUCUCUUCAUGGUAGAGAUCAGAGCAUUUUUUUUUUUUUUUUGAUAAACCCUAUCGGCAUCGGCUAUCCGGUCGGUCCCGGUAGGAACGCACCAAGGUGCGACAUAGUGGACUGGUCCACCGUGUUAACGGUUAGGCCCUUACGGGCUACCACUCUGCCUAUCCCGAGUUUGGAAUGCCUUCCGACUAAGUGCCAGGGGGUAGUCAAGCCGCCUGCAUUUCUGACUACCAGGUAAACCAAUUGGGCCAAGGCCCAACUGACAGACUUCCCAAACAAAUGUGUUUUUGUUUCCAGGGAGAAUCGAACUCAGGUUUGGGAGUUUCACCCUUUCCCAAAGCUUCCUCUGCCACUAGACCACAG
This 711-nucleotide long non-coding RNA is filed under the name Arabidopsis lyrata. RNAcentral describes it as "long non-coding RNA (ALYR_LNC000671)". The record is from RNAcentral. Lineage: Eukaryota; Viridiplantae; Streptophyta; Magnoliopsida; Brassicales; Brassicaceae.